This 72-nucleotide transfer RNA is filed under the name Loxodonta africana (African savanna elephant). It matches the Rfam family "tRNA". Rfam says of the family: Transfer RNA (tRNA) molecules are approximately 80 nucleotides in length. Lineage: Eukaryota; Metazoa; Chordata; Mammalia; Proboscidea; Elephantidae. The record is from Rfam by way of RNAcentral.
GCCCUGGUGGGGCAGUAGUCAAGCACUUGGCUGCUAAUCAAAAGGUUGGUGGUUCAAACCCACCCAGGAGCU